GAUGUUCUCUGCAGCGCCCGGUGUUCAUAAACACCACGGAAAGUUGUCUCACAAAUAAUACGUCAUCCACAGCAACUAACCCUAACGCGAUCAGGAGAGGAACAGGUCAGGUGUAUGAAACGUUUUGCUGAAAGUCGCCAGAGACCACAGGCGACAGUUUGGCAGUAACAGGCCUGCAACCACAGCUGGAUUUGAUGGUGGCAAUACUGUAAGUGCUUUUAAAACUGAGUUGUAA
Gymnodraco acuticeps is the source of this 235-nucleotide long non-coding RNA. RefSeq lists it as uncharacterized. The record is from RefSeq and is a predicted model, not a curated record. Lineage: Eukaryota; Metazoa; Chordata; Actinopteri; Perciformes; Bathydraconidae. The transcript is spliced from 3 exons.